This 402-nucleotide ribosomal RNA is filed under the name Amphora pediculus. Its description in RNAcentral is "partial large subunit ribosomal RNA". It matches the Rfam family "Bacterial large subunit ribosomal RNA", at positions 2084 to 2485 of the family's 2925-position model. The record is from RNAcentral. Lineage: Eukaryota; Bacillariophyta; Bacillariophyceae; Surirellales; Surirellaceae.
AAAGACCCUAUGAAGCUUUACUGUAACUUGAGAUUGAAAUUGGACUUUAUUCGCGCAGUAUAGGUGGGAGGCAUUGAAAAUAUUCUUGCGGGAAUAUUGGAGCCAUCAGUGAGAUACCACUCUUGUAAUGUUAGAUUUCUAACUUUGUAUCAUUAUCUGGUCAAAGAACAGUUUCAGGCGGGCAGUUUGACUGGGGCGGUCGCCUCCUAAAUGGUAACGGAGGCGCACAAAGGUUUCCUCUGAACGGGUAGAAAUCGUAUCUAGAGUGUAAAGGCAUAAGGAAGCUUGACUGUGAGACCUACAAGUCGAGCAGGGACGAAAGUCGGUCUUAGUGAUCUGACGGUGCUGAGUGGAAAGGCCGUCACUCAACGGAUAAAAGUUACUCUAGGGAUAACAGGCUGA